Molecule: long non-coding RNA, 408 nt
Organism: Cyprinus carpio (common carp)
Lineage: Eukaryota; Metazoa; Chordata; Actinopteri; Cypriniformes; Cyprinidae
Gene: bloc1s6
Exons: 3
Source: RefSeq, a predicted model, not a curated record
CGCGCUCAGAGUGGCAGUGCGUCGCGCGCGAGUAUGCGUGGUCACAUGAGCGCCGGUCACGUGAUGUUUGUGGAAACAGUUUCACAUCGAACAGAUUCAUCAGCCGCUAAUAAAGCGAGGGCUCGUGCACAGAACAGAACCUGAACGCGUUUGUGUGUCUGGAGGAAGAGGAAGAGGAGAGAGGAGGAUGGACAGACAGGAGGAGGAAAGAGGAGACAGUGUGUGUGGAUGAACAGACGGUGGAGCGUCUAACAGAAGGGUUUCUCUCUCACUAUCUGCCGGAGCUGUGCUCCUCUAAACGAGCGCUGCAGGAGCUGACACAGAACCAGGUGAUUCUGCUGGGAUACGCUGGAUCAGGAAGUGGCCAAGCUCCGCGAGUGCAACGCCACGAUCGAUCUGAACGCGCUG